CAGCAGCCGCGGUAAUACGUAGGGUCCGAGCGUUGUCCGGAAUUACUGGGCGUAAAGAGCUCGUAGGUGGUUUGUCGCGUUGUUCGUGAAAACUCACAGCUUAACUGUGGGCGUGCGGGCGAUACGGGCAGACUAGAGUACUGCAGGGGAGACUGGAAUUCCUGGUGUAGCGGUGGAAUGCGCAGAUAUCAGGAGGAACACCGGUGGCGAAGGCGGGUCUCUGGGCAGUAACUGACGCUGAGGAGCGAAAGCGUGGGGAGCGAACAGGAUUAGAUACCCUGGUAGUCCACGCCGUAAACGGUGGGUACUAGGUGUGGGUUUCCUUCCUUGGGAUCCGUGCCGUAGCUAACGCAUUAAGUACCCCGCCUGGGGAGUACGGCCGCAAGGCUAAAACUCAAAGGAAUUGACGGGGGCCCGCACAAGCGGCGGAGCAUGUGGAUUAAUUCGAUGCAACGCGAAGAACCUUACCUGGGUUUGACAUGCACAGGACGCCAGUAGAGAUAUUGGUUCCCUUGUGGCCUGUGUGCAGGUG
RNAcentral lists this ribosomal RNA (532 nucleotides) under Mycolicibacterium porcinum. RNAcentral describes it as "bacterial SSU rRNA". It matches the Rfam family "Bacterial small subunit ribosomal RNA", at positions 509 to 1040 of the family's 1533-position model. The record is from RNAcentral. Lineage: Bacteria; Bacillati; Actinomycetota; Actinomycetes; Mycobacteriales; Mycobacteriaceae.